RNAcentral lists this ribosomal RNA (511 nucleotides) under uncultured bacterium. Its description in RNAcentral is "bacterial SSU rRNA". It matches the Rfam family "Bacterial small subunit ribosomal RNA", at positions 791 to 1301 of the family's 1533-position model. The record is from RNAcentral.
UAGUCCACGCCGUAAACGAUGUGCACUAGGUAUUGGGGGUAUUGAUCCCUUCAGUGCCGUAGCUAACGCAAUAAGUGCACCGCCUGGGGAGUACGGUCGCAAGACUAAAACUCAAAGGAAUUGACGGGGGCCCGCACAAGCGGUGGAUUAUGUGGUUUAAUUCGAAGCAACGCGCAGAACCUUACCUAGGCUUGAAAUCCUGUGAAUCUUAACGAAAGUUAGGAGUGCUCUUUGGAGAAUACAGUGACAGGCGCUGCAUGGCUGUCGUCAACUCGUGUCGUGAGAUGUUGGGUUAAGUCUCGCAACGAGCGCAACCCCUAUCCUUAGUUGCCAUUAUUAAGUUAGGCACUCUAGGGAGACUGCCUGGGUUAACCAGGAGGAAGGUGGGGAUGACGUCAAGUCCUCAUGGCCCUUAUGUCUAGGGCUACACACGUACUACAAUGGCAUAAACAAUGGGCAGCGACUUAGCGAUAAGGAGCGAAUCCUCAAAUUAUGUCUCAGUCCGGAGUUG